GCCAAGGCUGGGACCUGGUACACAGGAGGCCACUUCCCAGCCAGCGAGAUGGACUGGGGCCUCCACUGGCAGGGGAAACGGGGAUUUUCGAAGCCAGUUCCCAGAACAGCACUGCUAGAUGGCUACGGAGACCACAGGCCGGACAUGGGGACAGGAUAGGGGUCCUGUGUGGAAGUGCCACUUCUGGGCACUGCCAACACCACCAGCUGCUGCUUCACACCCACUCGGUCAGAGCAAAGGAAAGAAGGAAGAAGGAAAGGAAAGCACGGAGGGCAUACGAGGACAUCUCCGCAUCCCCCGGCCUCAGAGGACAAGCAACGAAGUCACACAGCCAGAAGCUCCCAGAAGCCAGAGCCCUCGGCCCUGCGCUCUGUCAGUGCCCAGUGCCCACAGCUUUCCAGGCAGAAUCUCCGAUUGCUGCUGCCGGAUUCUUGCUUGCAAGGAUGGGGAUUCCUGCCUCGGCAGGGGGAGCCCUUACUGCUUGGAAGUAGAGAAGGGGGUGGGGGGUCUUAAGCCAAGCUGCAUCAUACAAGCUCCGGGGCCAGAGUCAGGGCAGACGGGUGUGCAGGCGGCUCUGCAGCUGACUCGCCAAGGUUUCGGGGGAAGCCGUGUUUCCCUGAUUGGAAAUGAGGAUAAUAAAGCCCAUUUUGGGUGCAUGAACAGGAUACACGCCUGGCACCCGCAUCGUGGGGAGCUGCUCGUGCCUAUGAGCGCUGCCUGGGCCAGGAAUCUGCUCCCCACGCUUCGUGGGAAUGGCUUCCUUCCCCGCUCGGAGCUCGGGGAUGCUGGCUGGGCUUUGGGAAGACGAACAAGUCGAAUGUCCACUGUGGAAGUUUUGUAGAUAGAUCUGUAGGAGGAAAAGGGCAAGGGGCAGCUUUGUAUAUAAUUCAAUUAGCAAAAUCAAGAAGUAAACAGAGCACCACAUGACCCGGGACUGUCACUCUAGGGGCCCGGAAGUACCCCAACCUGGAAGGUGUCCGUCCUGUCCUGUGUUCUCCGGCCCCUUCUCACCUGCGUCAUCAACCCUCCCUCCUCUCCUUCUCCAGACAGCGGCACUGAUCUACGGCUGCACAGAGAGGGUUCCAGAUGCCCUGCUCCUGGCUCAGCUCCCGGCGUCCCAGCCAAGCCUGUCUUGGAAGGAAGAGAAACUGCAUCUGCACAAGAGGAAGGGGAUGGCAAGUGGAUUCUGCCUUCUGCCCCGGAAGGGGUAAAUUAUAAUCUACGAUCAGACAAGGCAGGUCCGAGAGUCUUGACCAGCUCCAAGACAGAAAGGCGGAAACUCCAGGACAGAAGCUUGUUUAGACUUGUGGAUAGUUUGGG
RNAcentral lists this long non-coding RNA (1320 nucleotides) under Fukomys damarensis (Damara mole-rat). RNAcentral describes it as "lncRNA (ENSFDAG00000028359.1)". The record is from RNAcentral. Lineage: Eukaryota; Metazoa; Chordata; Mammalia; Rodentia; Bathyergidae.